This 75-nucleotide transfer RNA is filed under the name Cordylochernes scorpioides. RNAcentral's name for it is "tRNA-Thr". It matches the Rfam family "tRNA". From Rfam's summary of the family: Transfer RNA (tRNA) molecules are approximately 80 nucleotides in length. Their secondary structure includes four short double-helical elements and three loops (D, anti-codon, and T loops). Further hydrogen bonds mediate the characteristic L-shaped molecular structure. tRNAs have two regions of fundamental functional importance: the anti-codon, which is responsible for specific mRNA codon recognition, and the 3' end, to which the tRNAs corresponding amino acid is attached (by aminoacyl-tRNA synthetases). tRNAs cope with the degeneracy of the genetic code in two manners: having more than one tRNA (with a specific anti-codon) for a particular amino acid; and 'wobble' base-pairing, i.e. permitting non-standard base-pairing at the 3rd anti-codon position. Lineage: Eukaryota; Metazoa; Arthropoda; Arachnida; Pseudoscorpiones; Chernetidae. The record is from RNAcentral.
GUCCAGGGUAGCCUAGUGGUCAUGGCAUCUGCCCAGUAAGCGGAAGGUCGUGGGUUCGAUUCCCAUCCCUUGACA